This is a small nucleolar RNA of Dioscorea cayenensis subsp. rotundata (Guinea yam), 107 nucleotides long. Lineage: Eukaryota; Viridiplantae; Streptophyta; Magnoliopsida; Dioscoreales; Dioscoreaceae. The record is from RefSeq and is a predicted model, not a curated record.
AACCCAUGUUGAAGACAUUUUCACAAGAGUUCCUUGAACCUUUCCCAUGUCUCGAAUAGAGACUCCAAUUACACUUGCACAAAGGAUGAGAUCUCAUUUCUAAGCUU